GACGAACGCUGGCGGCGUGCUUAACACAUGCAAGUCGAACGGAAAGGCCCUGCUUGCAGGGUACUCGAGUGGCGAACGGGUGAGUAACACGUGGGUGAUCUGCCCUGCACUUCGGGAUAAGCCUGGGAAACUGGGUCUAAUACCGGAUAGGAGCCAUUUUUAGUGUGAUGGUUGGAAAGUUUUUUCGGUGUAGGAUGAGCUCGCGGCCUAUCAGCUUGUUGGUGGGGUAAUGGCCUACCAAGACGGCGACGGGUAGCCGGCCUGAGAGGGUGGACGGCCACAUUGGGACUGAGAUACGGCCCAGACUCCUAUGGGAGGCAGCAGUGGGGAAUAUUGCACAAUGGGCGCAAGCCUGAUGCAGCGACGCCGCGUGGGGGAUGACGGCCUUCGGGUUGUAAACUCCUUUCGCUAGGGACGAAGCUUUUUGUGACGGUACCUAGAUAAGAAGCACCGGCUAACUACGUG
This 465-nucleotide ribosomal RNA is filed under the name uncultured bacterium. Its description in RNAcentral is "partial 16S ribosomal RNA". It matches the Rfam family "Bacterial small subunit ribosomal RNA", at positions 28 to 507 of the family's 1533-position model. The record is from RNAcentral.